RNAcentral lists this ribosomal RNA (338 nucleotides) under uncultured bacterium. RNAcentral's name for it is "bacterial SSU rRNA". It matches the Rfam family "Bacterial small subunit ribosomal RNA", at positions 1041 to 1382 of the family's 1533-position model. The record is from RNAcentral.
CUGCAUGGUUGUCGUCAGCUCGUGUCGUGAGAUGUGGUUAAGUCCCGCACGAGCGCAACACCUGUCCUGUGUUGCUACUCCGCAAGGAGAGGGACUCUCAGGAGACUGCCGUGGAUAACACGGAGGAAGGUGGGGAUGACGUCAAAUCAUCAUGGCCUUUAUGUCCAGGGCUACACACGUGAUACAAUGGUACAGACAGAGGGCUGCAAGACCGUAAGGUGGAGCCAAUCCCUAAACUGUAUCCCAGUUCAGAUCGAGGGCUGCAAUUCGCCCUCGUGAAGUUGGAAUCGCUAGUAAUCGCAGAUCAGCAGGCUGCGGUGAAUACGUUCCCGGGCCUU